Molecule: small nucleolar RNA, 68 nt
Organism: Electrophorus electricus (electric eel)
Lineage: Eukaryota; Metazoa; Chordata; Actinopteri; Gymnotiformes; Gymnotidae
Source: RefSeq, a predicted model, not a curated record
AUGGAGAUGAUGACAUCCGAAUUUUUGACUGUUGGUGAUUCUUUGCGUAUUCAUACUGUCUGAUCCAC